Molecule: transfer RNA, 71 nt
Filed under: Camelus bactrianus (Bactrian camel)
Lineage: Eukaryota; Metazoa; Chordata; Mammalia; Artiodactyla; Camelidae
Also listed under: 2 other names
Rfam family: tRNA
About the family: Transfer RNA (tRNA) molecules are approximately 80 nucleotides in length.
Source: Rfam by way of RNAcentral
GAGGGGAUAGCUCAGUGGUAGAGCGUGUGCUCAGCAUGCACGAGGUCCGGGGUUCCAUCCCCAGCACCUCC